CACUUUGUUACCUUAUCACACCAUAUAAUGUUCAGACAGAUGAGAAUCUGGGCUUUCACUCACACAAACACUUGGACAUGAAAACCUUGCUAUUGCCAACUUGUUCAGUCGUAUCCUCGUAUUUGAUGGCUUUUGUAAAGCCUCUGUCCUGGGAGACCUGUGAAUAUACCAGAGUCUCAACUUUCAGUUUUUUUCAGAAGACAUUUUGUAGCCCUCACGGUUACAGGGAACAGCUGAAAACCCAGAAACGCCAAUAGCACAAAGAGGAGGAGGCAGAGAAUAAGAACUGCUUUGUUAUGAUGCAAAGAAACACACAUUUGUUGGGUUUUAAGGCAGACUUGGGGCAUGGAGUUGGCAGAGGAGAGGGAACACAGCCUGGGACCCACUGCAGCACCUCCCUGAGGCUCCUCUGGACAGCUUUAGAGCUCCUUUGGGCUCCUUUAGAGCUUCUCUGGAGUCCUUUGGGCUCCUUGCAGCUUCUUUGGGCUCCUUUGGAUACCUUUGGAGCUCCUUGGAGAUCCUUUGGUCUUUUUUGGAUUCCUUUGGAGCUCCCUUAGGCUCCUCUGCAGCUCCCAGUGCGGGCUCUUGCCCAGACACCCUUCACCGUGCUCUCCAGACAUCCCCAUUUCCACCCUGUUUUUCAACUUGUUACAAAAACUAAAGAUGCAUUGUAUGUACUGGACUGCCUUCGCCAAGAUAAAUAAACCCAUAGAUGCUUUUUUUUUCCAGGCAUUCACAGUCAAAUGAACGUGAAUAUUAACAGCCACUCCAUUAGACCCAAACUUUGGUGAGAUAAUAAGAGAGAACGACUCCGUAACCCCGCGCCUUCAAUCACGCGCGUAAUGCGCUCCUGUCUGUCUGCUGCUUUUCAUCCAAAAGCACGGGAAUCUGUGUGAAGUAAUAAUAUCUGAAGUGUUUCUUAAGAAGCAGAACCUGUCCCUAGGAAAACAUUCUCCUGACAAAGAAAUCUCUGCGUUGCAGAGCCUCCGUGAGUUACAGCUCUUUUCUCCCAUCGCUGGGCCUGUGGCCACUCCUGUAGGACCGCUUUGCUCAGAGGCCGUUGUGGUGGGCUGUUGUUCCCACGUCUCUGAAGUCCUCGUGCCCACCUCCUCCAUCCUUCCCAGUGGGGAAGCGCUGCUGGUCCUGCUUGCACAAUGCAGAACUGAUUGACUUGUCCAGGAAGGAAAUACUUGAGGGAAAUGGGGGCAAGAUGUGGGGAGCAGUGUGGCAAGAGCAAGGCUGUGCUAGGAGUGGGUUUGUCCUAUAGGUCAAUCCAGAAGAGCUUGGGUUAUAGAGUGCUGAGACACUCUUCCCACAGUGGAGCUUGAAUUCUCUGCAAGCACGCCAUUAAAAUUCUCACAUUGCACUGAAAACUGCUACAGCUUAAAGCUUAACCUUCUGCAGCAAUUGUUAAUGGUCACAUUUUUCUCUUUGUUAGAAAAAAAAUAAAUAAAUGUACAAACUGCACAGCCUGUGUCAAUCCUCAAACAUGCCAGCUCAGGGCUGAGAACGAGAUAGGCAGAAGAAUGCUGCUCAGAGAAGGGUCUGGCCCUUCUGCUGCACAACUUUCCCAUGCAGAGAAAUGAAAUGUGGACCCCGGCACCUCGGUGUCUGGCUCCGGCUCUAAAGUGGUUUCCACUGGUUAUAGAACAUGCUGACAGGCUCUUCAGAUAAGUAGGGCAAGGCAAGGGCACUCAGACUCUUGGCAGCAGGGCCAUGGGUGUCCUGCUUGCGUGGCUUCAGGAGGGCCUUUUGAACCCCGCAUUCAGCAUCUGGGAACGGUUCCUGUUCUUAAGGCAUCUGACCCACAAACCCCUUUGGUAAUUUAAAGCUCAUUAAAAUCUGCAAUCAGUAGUGCAGGACACUUGGAAGCCCACAGCUCCAUUACUGUAAAUGUAAAAAGAAUGGGAGUGCGGUCACUGUUGGAUCUGAGCUGACUUCCACGUCUGCUCCCCGUUUUAAAAGGGUUUGGGGCUGUCUGUCCACGCUGUGCUUCCACAUUGUCACCUGAAUUAAGUCACACGCAGGGACCGGACCGUCACUCGGGUUCAUGGAACUGCUGCUCUUCAUCCCUCUGAAGGACAUUAUCCCUCUGAAAGAUAGCAUUUUGAUGGGACGUGGAGCUGUCACGUGCUGAUGGCUUUGGAAGCAGAUGCAGGUUUGUGUCUGAGUGAUGCCUGUCUGCAUCCCAAGGCUCUGGCCGGGCCAUGGCCACAGUGGGGCUCUGUGUGUGACUCUGGGGCAGGAGCUGCUCCUUGGGAUGGUUUCUGCAUCCACUCAGGACACGGCUCUGCUGCGGUGGCUCAGCCGGGUCCCCUCCUGCACAGACACCCCGGGCUGCGGGACGUCCCCACAGAGCAGCAAAGAGGCUGUCAGAGGGUAUGACUUCCAUCCUUGUAAUGUUGCUGAAAUAGAAGUAGAGGCUCUUUCACACACACAAAUUAUGCUGUAGCGUAAACAUAGCCUGGAGGAAUCUGCUCGGAUUUCAAAGCUGCAUGGCACAGUCCAUCAGCCUCACACACACACUCUCUUUUAAUGACAGUGCAGAGAAGCCUUCUGCCUAACAUGAAUCAGAGUCCAUAGCCCUGGUGCUGUGCUGCCUCUUCUCCAAGCAAUGUCCCUGUGCUCAGCCUGAACCAGGGGCAGAGAGCAGAGCACAGAGCAAAAUGCCCCUGUCCCAAUGUUGGUCGGGGGAGAAUUGGGUGCUCAGCUGCAUGACCUGUGCCUGGAGAGGUGGUGAUGCCCCAUCCCUGGAGACUUUCGAGGCUGGGCUGGACCAGGCUCUGGGCUACCUGAUGGAGCUAUGCCUGUCCCUGUAAGUGGCAGGGGAUUUGGACCAGAUACCUUUAAAGUCCCUUCCAACUCCAAGGAUUCUAUGAUUCUGUGGGCGCUUGGACAGAGCAUUCACUGCAACAUUGCCAACAGAGCCCCGCACCACUCAGCUCCGCUUAAAAGUUUAUUACACCCCACGGCUGCCAUAACAGACAGCAGGGCCCGCAGGCUUGGAAGGCUCUUCUAUUUUCACAUGGGCUUUGCACACUGUUAGAGUGGGUCUCCACGCAGCUCCAUUUGCCCUCUGUUCAGGAUGGAAGUUCCAAAUUUCCCCAGCGUGAGACGAAGAGGUGUUAAUGAGAGAAGGGCAGAGGCACGAUGGCAGCCAGCCCCAUCUGCUCCUCGUGAAGAACACAGUGUUGGUGGGGAAGUGGUUGGACUGGUUUCUGUGGCUGAAAAAAGGCCCUAAGAAGAGCUGGAAAUGUUUUUGUAGAGCAAAUGUCAACAGUGCAGGACUCUCCCCUGUCGCUUUCAGCAGAGACCCGAAGCGAAGCCAUGUGGAGGCACGUAGGGCAGAACUCAAAGCAGCCUAUGAGAAUUACACUCAUAUCAAGGAAAUGUCAUUAUCUGUGUUUUAACAUCUUAUCUCCAGUGUGAUUUUCCCAAACAAACAGCAGUCUGGAAGCAGCCAGUGGAUGGAUGAUCCUUCCCAUCUCCGGUAGCUCCAUAGAACAGCACCGCCUGGGGCUGGGAAUGGGGCAGGAGGGUUCCCCAGGGCUGUACUGCACACGGGGCACCUCCUCCUGCCGAGCCCCAGGGAGCAGCAAUCACUGCACAGCCAUGGGCUGAGGCUCCCGUGUGCGUUCCCAAUACAAUAACACAUCUCAGCUCAUAAGAGAGGAAUGGUGUGCGAGUAAGUGCUUGUGAAAAUGUGGAGGAAUUUGGGGAAAAACACUGUUUUUUUAGCAUUCCUUUUUCUUAACUUCAUGUUUCCCAACGGAGUAUUGGACUCUUUGUCCGCUCUGUUAUCUCAGCACACAUAAAGCCUGGAUCCUGGGUCAAGCGGUGACAGUCAUGCAGCAAGGGCGGGCUCUUGGACGCUCCAUUCUGAAAGCAGACCAAGAAAAGUCUGCAGAUUGAUACAUUUUUUUCUCUAUUUUUCACAUGCUAAAUCUGAAACAAACAUGUUCCUGCAGUAACACUGACCUAAC
Long non-coding RNA from Gallus gallus (chicken), 3983 nucleotides. Lineage: Eukaryota; Metazoa; Chordata; Aves; Galliformes; Phasianidae. The record is from Ensembl.